UACGAGGGGUGCAAGCGUUGUCCGGAAUCAUUGGGCGUAAAGAGCGUGUAGGCGGCCCGGUAAGUCCGCUGUGAAAGUCCAGGGCUCAACCCUGGGAUGCCGGUGGAUACUGUCGGGCUCGAGUCCGGAAGAGGAGUGUGGAAUUCCUGGUGUAGCGGUGAAAUGCGCAGAUAUCAGGAGGAACACCAAUGGCGAAGGCAGCACUCUGGGACGUGACUGACGCUGAGACGCGAAAGCGUGGGGAGCAAACAGG
This 253-nucleotide ribosomal RNA is filed under the name uncultured bacterium. RNAcentral describes it as "partial 16S ribosomal RNA". It matches the Rfam family "Bacterial small subunit ribosomal RNA", at positions 524 to 776 of the family's 1533-position model. The record is from RNAcentral.